GAUGAACGCUGGCGGCGUGCUUAACACAUGCAAGUCGAGCGAGAAGUUUUGAAAAGAUUCUUCGGAUGAAAUUUAAAAUGGAAAGCGGCGGCCGGGUGAGUAACGCGUAGGCAACCUGCCCCAUACAAAGGGAUAGCAUUUGGAAACGAAUAUUAAUACCUUAUGAAACUUAACUAGUGCAUGCUAGGUAGGUCAAAGAUUUAUCGGUAUGGGAUGGGCCUGCGUCUGAUUAGCUAGUUGGUGAGGUAACGGCUCACCAAGGCGACGAUCAGUAGCCGACCUGGGAGGGUGAACGGCCACAUUGGAACUGAGACACGGUCCAAACUCCUACGGGAGGCAGCAGUGGGGAAUAUUGCACAAUGGGGGAAACCCUGAUGCAGCAACGCCGCGUGAACGAUGAAGGCCUUUGGGUCGUAAAGUUCUGUUCUAGGUGAUGAAAACUGACAGUAACCUAGGAGAAAGCCCCGGCUAACUCCGUG
RNAcentral lists this ribosomal RNA (479 nucleotides) under uncultured bacterium. RNAcentral describes it as "partial 16S ribosomal RNA". It matches the Rfam family "Bacterial small subunit ribosomal RNA", at positions 28 to 507 of the family's 1533-position model. The record is from RNAcentral.